Otolemur garnettii (small-eared galago) is the source of this 64-nucleotide microRNA precursor. The record is from Ensembl. NCBI's taxonomy places the organism in Eukaryota, Metazoa, Chordata, Mammalia, Primates, Galagidae.
AGAUAGUUGGUCCCGGCCCAGAGUUUCUGAUUUAGCAGAUCUGGGGUGGGGCCUAAGGAUGUGC